This 232-nucleotide non-coding RNA is filed under the name Roseibium alexandrii. Lineage: Bacteria; Pseudomonadati; Pseudomonadota; Alphaproteobacteria; Hyphomicrobiales; Stappiaceae. The record is from RNAcentral.
GUUAGGAAGGAAACAGACGGUUCUGGUGCUGGAGUGAUCCGGCCCGGAUGAAACGGGAAUCCGGUAGGUCUUCAUUUAUGAUUGAUCCGGAGCUGCCCCCGCAACUGUGAGCGGCGAGUGCUGGCACAAAACCCACUGGGUACCUCUGAGCGUUGUUCUCAAGGCUUCCGGGAAGGGGUGCCGGUCACAAGGAACCGCGAGCCAGGAGACCGGCCGUCGAUAGAGUUUAACC